UUUUAGUCAACCUUCUGAGGUGCUUGCGUGCUCAAGCCGCGAGAUAAUCGGGAAGCCAGUGAGAUUCUGGCACUGCCCCCGCAACGGUAAAAGGUGAGAGAAGACCGCGUUUGAUAAGUGAGUUCAAGACAGAACCCGAUAAUCAGAAUGUGAAAGGUCAGUCUCGCGUUAAUCCAACUUUUAAUGGAUUAACAUAGCCUAAGUCCGGAGACCGGCCCUAAAGGUGUUUUUGAG
This 234-nucleotide non-coding RNA is filed under the name Shewanella putrefaciens. Lineage: Bacteria; Pseudomonadati; Pseudomonadota; Gammaproteobacteria; Alteromonadales; Shewanellaceae. The record is from RNAcentral.